Molecule: ribosomal RNA, 894 nt
Filed under: uncultured bacterium
Lineage: Bacteria
Description: bacterial SSU rRNA
Rfam family: Bacterial small subunit ribosomal RNA
Source: RNAcentral
AUGCAAGUAGAACGCUGAAGGAGGAGCUUGCUCUCUCUGGAUGAGUUGCGAACGGGUGAGUAACGCGUAGGUAACCUGCCUGGUAGCGGGGGAUAACUAUUGGAAACGAUAGCUAAUACCGCAUAACAGUAGAUGUUGCAUGACAUUUGCUUAAAAGGUGCAAUUGCAUCACUACCAGAUGGACCUGCGUUGUAUUAGCUAGUUGGUGGGGUAACGGCUCACCAAGGCGACGAUACAUAGCCGACCUGAGAGGGUGAUCGGCCACACUGGGACUGAGACACGGCCCAAACUCCUACGGGAGGCAGCAGUAGGGAAUCUUCGGCAAUGGACGGAAGUCUGACCGAGCAACGCCGCGUGAGUGAAGAAGGUUUUCGGAUCGUAAAGCUCUGUUGUAAGAGAAGAACGAGUGUGAGAGUGGAAAGUUCACACUGUGACGGUAUCUUACCAGAAAGGGACGGCUAACUACGUGCCAGCAGCCGCGGUAAUACGUAGGUCCCGAGCGUUGUCCGGAUUUAUUGGGCGUAAAGCGAGCGCAGGCGGUUAGAUAAGUCUGAAGUUAAAGGCUGUGGCUUAACCAUAGUACGCUUUGGAAACUGUUUAACUUGAGCGCAAGAGGGGAGAGUGGAAUUCCAUGUGUAGCGGUGAAAUGCGUAGAUAUAUGGAGGAACACCGGUGGCGAAAGCGGCUCUCUGGCUUGUAACUGACGCUGAGGCUCGAAAGCGUGGGGAGCAAACAGGAUUAGAUACCCUGGUAGUCCACGCCGUAAACGAUGAGUGCUAGGUGUUAGACCCUUUCCGGGGUUUAGUGCCGUAGCUAACGCAUUAAGCACUCCGCCUGGGGAGUACGACCGCAAGGUUGAAACUCAAAGGAAUUGACGGGGGCCCGCACAAGCGG